Molecule: ribosomal RNA, 446 nt
Filed under: uncultured bacterium
Lineage: Bacteria
Description: bacterial SSU rRNA
Rfam family: Bacterial small subunit ribosomal RNA
Source: RNAcentral
ACGGUGUAGCAAUACACUGGUGGCGACCGGCGCACGGUGCGUAACAGGUAUGCAAUCUGUCCCAUACCGGGCAUAGCCCGCUGAAAGGCGGAUUAAUUCUCCAUGUGUCAUGAGAGGGCAUCCUUUUAUGAUGAAACGUAAGGGUAUGGGAUGAGCAUGCUUAUGAUUAGAUAGUAGGCGGGGUAACGGCCCACCUAGUCGACGAUCAUUAGGGGUCCUGAGAGGGAGAUCCCCCACAUUGGAACUGAGACACGGUCCAAACUCCUACGGGAGGCAGCAGUGAGGAAUAUUGGUCAAUGGGCGGAAGCCUGAACCAGCCAAGUCGCGUGAAGGAAGACGGUUCUAUGGAUUGUAAACUUCUUUUGUCCGAGGGUAAAGUGAGUCACGUGUGGCUUAUUGCAAGUAUCGGACGAAUAAGCAUCGGCUAACUCCGUGCCAGCAGCCGC